This is a long non-coding RNA of Betta splendens (Siamese fighting fish), 470 nucleotides long. RefSeq lists it as uncharacterized. NCBI's taxonomy places the organism in Eukaryota, Metazoa, Chordata, Actinopteri, Anabantiformes, Osphronemidae. The transcript is spliced from 2 exons. The record is from RefSeq and is a predicted model, not a curated record.
CGGAGUCUCGCCGUUUUACGGACGUAGGCAGCGAAGAGCUGGCACAUCUCUCCAAAGUGCUUCUCCACGUUGGUGACGUUCUCCUGGAUCUUCCGUGUCUGGUUGUCUCUGAGGAAGACGACCAACAACAUUAAAACCUGGUCUGAUUUCCAUUUACAAGGUCAGUAUCAGGCGUCUGCGGGGAACAUCACUUCCUCAUAUCCAGAGCAUGACAAAGGGACAAAUGCAGUCAGAGCGAGGACAAAAAGCAGGGGAGACGCUCCCCGCGCGGCCUGAGCCGCACCGUUCUCAUUCAACUGCCUUUUAUUUCAUCUCUGAGCUAUUGUUUAAUGAUAUCAGUCUCAAAGGCAGAAUAGACCUUUGGCCGUCGGGGAGGCGAUGUAUAAUUCAAAUCCAGUGAGAUGUGAUACAACACAGUUUUAAAAAGCUAGGUGUUGUGGAACCAUUAAAGCCCCACGGCUUUGCUCCGA